RNAcentral lists this ribosomal RNA (465 nucleotides) under Vreelandella stevensii. RNAcentral's name for it is "partial 16S ribosomal RNA". It matches the Rfam family "Bacterial small subunit ribosomal RNA", at positions 338 to 795 of the family's 1533-position model. Lineage: Bacteria; Pseudomonadati; Pseudomonadota; Gammaproteobacteria; Oceanospirillales; Halomonadaceae. The record is from RNAcentral.
CCUACGGGAGGCAGCAGUGGGGAAUAUUGGACAAUGGGGGCAACCCUGAUCCAGCCAUGCCGCGUGUGUGAAGAAGGCCCUCGGGUUGUAAAGCACUUUCAGUGAGGAAGAACGCCUGGUGGUUAAUACCCAUCAGGAAAGACAUCACUCACAGAAGAAGCACCGGCUAACUCCGUGCCAGCAGCCGCGGUAAUACGGAGGGUGCGAGCGUUAAUCGGAAUUACUGGGCGUAAAGCGCGCGUAGGUGGCUUGAUAAGCCGGUUGUGAAAGCCCCGGGCUCAACCUGGGAACGGCAUCCGGAACUGUCAAGCUAGAGUGCAGGAGAGGAAGGUAGAAUUCCCGGUGUAGCGGUGAAAUGCGUAGAGAUCGGGAGGAAUACCAGUGGCGAAGGCGGCCUUCUGGACUGACACUGACGCUGAGGUGCGAAAGCGUGGGUAGCAAACAGGAUUAGAUACCCUUGUAGUC